UAGAAUGUAGCUUAGUGGCACAGCAUCUGCCUGGCAAGUGGGAUGCCCUGAGUUCAAUACCCAGCACUAUAA
RNAcentral lists this transfer RNA (72 nucleotides) under Cavia porcellus (domestic guinea pig). It matches the Rfam family "tRNA". Rfam says of the family: Transfer RNA (tRNA) molecules are approximately 80 nucleotides in length. Lineage: Eukaryota; Metazoa; Chordata; Mammalia; Rodentia; Caviidae. The record is from Rfam by way of RNAcentral.